Molecule: microRNA precursor, 61 nt
Organism: Bos indicus x Bos taurus (hybrid cattle)
Lineage: Eukaryota; Metazoa; Chordata; Mammalia; Artiodactyla; Bovidae
Source: Ensembl
CACACUCAGAUAAAGUAGGCACUUUUUGGUUCUUGAAAUGCUACCUAGUCUGAGUGAGUGA